GCUAAUAGGGCUGCUAUUGCAGGCUACUUUGAUAUAGUAGAUUGAAAACAGAUUGUUUCGUUAGUA
This 66-nucleotide transfer RNA is filed under the name Spongiobothrium variabile. RNAcentral's name for it is "tRNA-Ile". The record is from RNAcentral. RNAcentral also lists the same sequence under 1 other name. Lineage: Eukaryota; Metazoa; Platyhelminthes; Cestoda; Rhinebothriidea; Rhinebothriidae.